Long non-coding RNA from Camelus dromedarius (Arabian camel), 1058 nucleotides. RefSeq lists it as uncharacterized. The transcript has 3 exons. NCBI's taxonomy places the organism in Eukaryota, Metazoa, Chordata, Mammalia, Artiodactyla, Camelidae. The record is from RefSeq and is a predicted model, not a curated record.
GGGACCCCGGCGCCGACCCGCUGGGGGUCCAGCCGUGCGCCGCCGCCCGCUGCGAGGGUCUGGAGAGUGGCGGAGGCGGGGCCGCUGCGGGGCCUUCCCUUCCGCCGCAGAGCCCCGCUCCCAAAGUCCUGUGCCCGGCCUCACACACCGGACGGCGAGCAAAGCGGGGAAAGCCAGUCGGCCAGCAACUGGGAGGGAAACUAAGCCGGGCGCCGGCGGGCUCCAGCCUCUGCUUCUGCCGCGAUGGCAUAUUCUGAGGGGCUGCUCUGCAGAAAAGGCCAAGUGAAAAGUCAUCCAGUGACGAGGAAGGAGGAAGAUGGCACGUCGAGUUCACGAGGAGGUUGUGCUGCUCCGAUGCUGAGCAGGCUGGAAUGGCACAAUCACCGGGAAAAGUAGCAAACACCAAUCAGAGAAUGUCAUGGCAGUGCUCCGUCAACGCUAAUGACUUUUAAUAACAUUGGAACCAACAUGUGGCAUUCCACGAGGCGAUGGAGUUGAAGUUUGUCUUCGGUUGAUACAGAAUUCUCUCCCAUAUGGCAGCUAAUGGGCAGUGAGAGGAUGUUGGAGGAUCCAGGAACAAAGCUCAAGAGAAAGAAGGAUAUUAUUCCACCCUACAAGCUAGCAGUGACGGAAACUUGGAAAUGAAUGCAAGUAUGUGCAGGUACAUAGGUCACAAAUUUUAGAAGUCUGAACUACCUCUGGUUUAUUCAUCUGAAAUGAAAAUAUUCUUUGACCAUCAAAAUCAUGUUUAUGGCUUAUUUGGGAAAAUUUAUCUUAAAACCAGAUACAGAUUUUGGAAGGAAACCAGGAACCUGGACAGUACAAUCCACUUGGGGUCAAAGGCAAAACUCCUGGGAGAUUGAAGUUUUCCUUGUUAAGCCUGCAAUAUUAAGAUUUGGGAAAUGUAGAAGAAAUAACUGAAAAUAUCUUCCUAGAAGUAACUGUAUAUCAUCAGCUUUAGAUGCAAAAACUAGGAACUGGCUUCAUUCGAAGGAAUAAUUACUCAGCUCUCUAGAGUUUGCUUGAAUGACUUGGUGGACCAAAUUUAUAGCUUAUAU